Molecule: ribosomal RNA, 809 nt
Filed under: uncultured bacterium
Lineage: Bacteria
Description: bacterial SSU rRNA
Rfam family: Bacterial small subunit ribosomal RNA
Source: RNAcentral
CAAGUCGAACGCGAAAGUCCCCUUCGGGGGAUAAGUAGAGUGGCGCACGGGUGAGUAACACGUAGGUAAUCUACCUUCGGGUGGGGAAUAACCCAGGGAAACUUGGGCUAACACCGCAUAAUGCAGCGGCACCACAUGGUGACAGUUGUUAAAGCGGGGGAUUUUAGGACCUCGCGCCUGAAGAGGAGCCUGCGGCAGAUUAGCUUGUUGGUAAGGUAACGGCUUACCAAGGCGACGAUCUGUAGCCGGCCUGAGAGGGCGGUCGGCCACACUGACACUGACAUACGGGUCAGACUCCUACGGGAGGCAGCAGUCGGGAAUUUUGGGCAAUGGGCGAAAGCCUGACCCAGCAACGCCGCGUGAAGGAUGAAAUCCCUCGGGAUGUAAACUUCGCAAGAAUGGGAAGAAUUAGUAGGGGUUAAUACCCCCUAUGAUGACGGUACCAUUUGUAAGCUCCGGCUAACUCCGUGCCAGCAGCCGCGGUAAUACGGGGGGAGCAAGCGUUGUUCGGAUUUACUGGGCGUAAAGGGCGCGUAGGCGGCCAGCACAAGUCGGUUGUGAAAUCUCCGGGCUUAACUCGGAAAGGUCAACCGAUACUGUGCGGCUAGAGUGCGGAAGGGGCAACUGGAAUUCUCGGUGUAGCGGUGAAAUGCGUAGAUAUCGAGAGGAACACCUGCGGCGAAGGCGGGUUGCUGGGCCGACACUGACGCUGAUGCGCGAAAGCCAGGGGAGCGAACGGGAUUAGAUACCCCGGUAGUCCUGGCCUUAAACGAUGGAUGCUUGGUGUCUGGAGUUUUAUAGUCUCCGGG